This 488-nucleotide ribosomal RNA is filed under the name uncultured bacterium. Its description in RNAcentral is "bacterial SSU rRNA". It matches the Rfam family "Bacterial small subunit ribosomal RNA", at positions 1 to 507 of the family's 1533-position model. The record is from RNAcentral.
AGUAGUUUGAUCACUGGCUCAGGACGAACGCUGGCGGCGUGCUUAACACAUGCAAGUCGAACGAUGAACCGGAGCUUGCUCCGGGGAUUAGUGGCGAACGGGUGAGUAACACGUGGGCAACCUGCCCCAGACAUCGGGAUAACCAUUCGAAAGGAUGGCUAAUACCGGAUAUGACCACUUCGGGCAUCCGAUGGUGGUGGAAAGGAUUCUGGUCUGGGAUGGGCCCGCGGCCUAUCAGCUAGUUGGUGGGGUAAUGGCCUACCAAGGCGACGACGGGUAGCCGGCCUGAGAGGGCGACCGGCCACACUGGGACUGAGACACGGCCCAGACUCCUACGGGAGGCAGCAGUGGGGAAUAUUGCGCAAUGGGCGAAAGCCUGACGCAGCGACGCCGCGUGAGGGACGAAGGUCUUCGGAUUGUAAACCUCUUUCAGCAGGGACGAAGCGAAAGUGACUGUACCUGCAGAAGAAGCACCGGCUAACUACGUG